RNAcentral lists this unclassified non-coding RNA (325 nucleotides) under soil metagenome. RNAcentral describes it as "partial contains 5.8S ribosomal RNA, internal transcribed spacer 2, and large subunit ribosomal RNA". The stretch from base 1 to 120 matches the Rfam family "5.8S ribosomal RNA", at positions 35 to 154 of the family's 154-position model. The record is from RNAcentral.
GAUGAAGAACGCAGCGAAAUGCGAUAAGUAAUGCGAAUUGCAGAAUUCAGUGAGUCAUCGAAUCUUUGAACGCACAUUGCGCCCUGUGGUAUUCCGCAGGGCAUGCCUGUUCGAGCGUCAUUUCAACCCUCAAGCCCCGCUUGGCGUUGGGCCCCGCCCGCCGUGGCCGGCCCUAAAGACAGUGGCGGCGCCGCCUGGCCCUCAGCGUAGUACAGCUCUCGCUCCAGGGUCCGGCGGCCGCCUGCCAGAACCCCCCCAACUCUGUGGUUGACCUCGGAUCAGGUAGGGAUACCCGCUGAACUUAAGCAUAUCAAUAAGCGGAGGA